This 172-nucleotide ribosomal RNA is filed under the name uncultured bacterium. RNAcentral describes it as "partial 16S ribosomal RNA". It matches the Rfam family "Bacterial small subunit ribosomal RNA", at positions 1328 to 1500 of the family's 1533-position model. The record is from RNAcentral.
GGAAUUGCUAGUAAUCACAGGUCAGCAUACUGUGGUGAAUACGUUCCCGGGCCUUGUACACACCGCCCGUCACACCAUGAGAGUUGGGGAUACCCGAAGCCUGUGAGCUAACAUUAUGAGGCAGCAGUCGAAGGUAGAAUCAAUGAUUGGGGUGAAGUCGUAACAAGGUAUC